GGGAGGUUAACCGGUAAAUGGUAGCCGCAAAGACUGUAAAUCUUUUCUCUCUGAGACUGGGGGUUCGAGUCCCUCACCUCCCA
This 83-nucleotide transfer RNA is filed under the name Bacteroidales bacterium. RNAcentral's name for it is "tRNA-Tyr". It matches the Rfam family "tRNA". From Rfam's summary of the family: Transfer RNA (tRNA) molecules are approximately 80 nucleotides in length. Lineage: Bacteria; Pseudomonadati; Bacteroidota; Bacteroidia; Bacteroidales. RNAcentral also lists the same sequence under 1 other name. The record is from RNAcentral.